CACAUACAAAAUCCAGUCCACCCAUACGAGGUGGCUGACCCGCGGUUUGAUGUAACAUCCCAAAAUUUCAAACUUUUACAUACGCAUUGCAUCCAUGAGCAUCAUGCCACAAUUGCAUGUUUGAAUUCAAAUUUGAAUCCCAAAAGGGCUUUGGAAAGAUUUUUAUUUCAAUUUAAACCUUAGGGUUUACACCCAUUUGAGCUUUGGAUCUUCAAACCAAUAGGUUUUAUGUAUAAAAGGGGUUUAAUGCAUAUAUAAGCUAUCCCAUAAUUUUUGGAUAAUUAUUUGGAGUUGAAAACGUAUUUUAUUUAAAUAGAUAUAUAGCCCUAAAGGCAUUUAUAGGGUAAAUGUAUUUUUUUUUUGAGGGGAAACUACUCCCAAAAGUUGUAUCAUGGUAGAACAUGAUUUUACAAAUUUUCUGGAAUUUAUUUGAACCAAUUUGGAGUUCAAAAUCAAAAGAUAUCAAACAAAUAAGGAAAAGGGAAAAAGAAAAGAAAAAAAAGGGGUGAACCGGACCGGUCCGACCGCUUGGACCGAACCGGCCCAGAACCGAUCGAGCCGCCCGACCAAACGACCCCGCCGUCCACGCGCGCGCCCGCUUCCACUGACGGGUGGGGCGCACCUGUCAGGGCCUUCUUCUUCCUCGAAAGGAAACCCCCGCGCC
This 664-nucleotide long non-coding RNA is filed under the name Brachypodium distachyon (stiff brome). Its description in RNAcentral is "long non-coding RNA (BDIS_LNC001856)". The record is from RNAcentral. Lineage: Eukaryota; Viridiplantae; Streptophyta; Magnoliopsida; Poales; Poaceae.